AUUGAACGCUGGCGGCAGGCCUAACACAUGCAAGUCGAACGAGUGGCGGACAGGUGAGUAAUGUCUGGGAAACUGCCCGAUGGAGGGGGAUAACUACUGGAAACAGUAGCUAAUACCGCAUACCAUCGGAUGUGCCCAGAUGGGAUUAGCUAGUAGGGGGGGUAACGGCUCACCAAGGCGACGAUCCCUAGCUGGUCUGAGAGGAUGACCAGCCACACUGGAACUGAGACACGGUCCAGACUCCUACGGGAGGCAGCAGUGGGGAAUAUUGGACAAUGGGCGCAAGCCUGAUGCAGCAAUGCCGCGUGUAUGAAGAAGGCCUUCGGGUUGUAAAGUACGUUCGUCGGGGAGGCGGUAUCCGCAGAGGAAGCACCGGCUAACUCCGUGCCAGCAGCCGCGGUAAUUC
Molecule: ribosomal RNA, 406 nt
Filed under: uncultured bacterium
Lineage: Bacteria
Description: partial 16S ribosomal RNA
Rfam family: Bacterial small subunit ribosomal RNA
Source: RNAcentral